GUACUGAUGAAGAGUCCCAAACUAAAACGAAACAGCUGUCUAGUAC
Trichobilharzia regenti is the source of this 46-nucleotide non-coding RNA. The record is from Rfam. NCBI's taxonomy places the organism in Eukaryota, Metazoa, Platyhelminthes, Trematoda, Strigeidida, Schistosomatidae.